Molecule: non-coding RNA, 212 nt
Organism: Paramuricea clavata
Lineage: Eukaryota; Metazoa; Cnidaria; Anthozoa; Malacalcyonacea; Plexauridae
Source: the annotation of a GenBank genome assembly
AGAUUUUGAUAUGUUUUCAAAGAAUUGCUUUCGUGAUUGCAAUUCCACAUGCAGUUUAUAGGUUAUGUAAACGCACUUAAAAUAUUUGCGAAAGCUUAAUAGUCUUCACUUGUAAUCACACGCCGCACAACUGAAAAAAGGUAAUGAGAAGAAAGAAAACGUUGGGAAGGAAAAAAAUUUAAAAAAUGAUCGAUCGAGUCCCCUCAUCAAGC